This 1728-nucleotide ribosomal RNA is filed under the name Periplaneta americana (American cockroach). RNAcentral's name for it is "SSU rRNA". It matches the Rfam family "Eukaryotic small subunit ribosomal RNA", at positions 3 to 1441 of the family's 1831-position model. Lineage: Eukaryota; Metazoa; Arthropoda; Insecta; Blattodea; Blattidae. The record is from RNAcentral.
CCUGGUUGAUCCUGCCAGUAGUCAUAUGCUUGUCUCAAAGAUUAAGCCAUGCAUGUCUCAGUGCAAGCCGCAUUAAGGUGAAACCGCGAAUGGCUCAUUAAAUCAGUUAUGGUUCCUUAGAUGGUGGACAGUUACUUGGAUAACUGUGGUAAUUCUAGAGCUAAUACAUGCAACUCGGUCCCGACCGGAGACGGAAGGGACGCUUUUAUUAGAUCAAAACCAAUCGGUCCUCGCGGCCGUUUGCCUUGGUGACUCUGAAUAAAUUGUGGCAGAUCGCACGGUCUCCGUACCGGCGACGCAUCUUUCAAAUGUCUGCCUUAUCAACUGUCGAUGGUAGGUUCUGCGCCUACCAUGGUUGUAACGGGUAACGGGGAAUCAGGGUUCGAUUCCGGAGAGGGAGCCUGAGAAACGGCUACCACAUCCAAGGAAGGCAGCAGGCGCGCAAAUUACCCACUCCCGGCACGGGGAGGUAGUGACGAAAAAUAACGAUACGGGACUCAUCCGAGGCCCCGUAAUCGGAAUGAGCACACUUUAAAUCCUUUAACGAGUAUCCAUUGGAGGGCAAGUCUGGUGCCAGCAGCCGCGGUAAUUCCAGCUCCAAUAGCGUAUAUUAAAGUUGUUGCGGUUAAAAAGCUCGUAGUCGGACUUGUGUCCCACGCUGCCGGUUCACCGCCCGUCGGUGUCUAACUGGCAUGCACGUGCGGACGUCCUGCCGGUGGCCCAAGCCGGCGCGUUUCGGGGUCGGAAACGUCUCCGGGCGCGUGUCGGGGAGGGCCUACUCAUACCCGUCGCGGUGCUCUUAACCGAGUGUCUCGAUGGGCCGGCACGUUUACUUUGAACAAAUUAGAGUGCUUAAAGCAGGCAGCAGCCGCCUGAAUACCGAGUGCAUGGAAUAAUGGAAUAGGACCUCGGUUCUAUUUUGUUGGUUUUCGGAAUCCCCGAGGUAAUGAUCAAUAGGGACAGAUGGGGGCAUUCGUAUUGCGACGUUAGAGGUGAAAUUCUUGGAUCGUCGCAAGACGGACCGAAGCGAAAGCAUUUGCCAAGAAUGUUUUCUCUGAUCAAGAACGAAAGUUAGAGGUUCGAAGGCGAUCAGAUACCGCCCUAGUUCUAACCAUAAACGAUGCCAGCCAGCAAUCCGCCGAAGUUCCUCCGAUGACUCGGCGGGCGGCUUCCGGGAAACCAAAGCUUUUGGGUUCCGGGGGAAGUAUGGUUGCAAAGCUGAAACUUAAAGGAAUUGACGGAAGGGCACCACCAGGAGUGGAGCCUGCGGCUUAAUUUGACUCAACACGGGAAACCUCACCAGGCCCGGACACCGGGAGGAUUGACAGAUUGAGAGCUCUUUCUUGAUUCGGUGGGUGGUGGUGCAUGGCCGUUCUUAGUUGGUGGAGCGAUUUGUCUGGUUAAUUCCGACACAAGUCUGUACUGAAGAAAUUGUCGAAUGAAUUGCGGUAUUCAGAAUCCCUGCAUCCAAAAGAGCUUCAUCAGGAACCUAUCAAAGUUAAAGUUAUGUGUUAGUUGAUAGUUACAAGGUAUCAUUUAUCAUCACUCUAUUUCUCAGAGAUUUUAACAUAGUUUUUUCCUCUGUUCUGAAUGCACCAGAGCUUAAAGGCUUAUUGUGUUUCUCAUUUAAAUUAAUGAUAUCGCAAUGGUAUUUGACGAGAUGAGUAUUAGGAUUUGCCGUGGGGCUAACAGACAGUCGCAUUCCAAUUUUGAAAAAUUUUCGAAAAA